RNAcentral lists this ribosomal RNA (456 nucleotides) under uncultured bacterium. RNAcentral's name for it is "bacterial SSU rRNA". It matches the Rfam family "Bacterial small subunit ribosomal RNA", at positions 340 to 786 of the family's 1533-position model. The record is from RNAcentral.
UACGGAAGGCAGCAGUGGGGAAUAUUGCACAAUGGGCGAAAGCCUGAUGCAGCUAUGCCGCGUGUAUGAAGAAGGCCUUAGGGUUGUAAAGUACUUUCAUCGGGGAGGAAAAAACAAAACUAAUAAUUUUAUUUCUUGACGUUACCCGAAAAAGAAGCACCGGCUAACUCCGUGCCAGCAGCCGCGGUAAUACGGAGGGUGCUAGCGUUAAUCAGAAUUACUGGGCGUAAAGAGCACGUAGGUGGUUUUUUUAAGUCAGAUGUGAAAUCCCUGGGCUUAACCUGGAACUGCAUUUUGAAACUGAAAUACUAGAGUAUCGUAGAGGGAGGUAGAAUUCUAGGUGUAGCGGUUGAAAUGCGUAGAUAUCUGGAGGAAUACCUGUGGCGAAAGCGGCCUCCUAAACGAAUACUGACACUGAGGUGCGAAAGCGUGGGGAGCAAACAGGGAUUAGAUACC